RNAcentral lists this ribosomal RNA (253 nucleotides) under uncultured bacterium. RNAcentral's name for it is "partial 16S ribosomal RNA". It matches the Rfam family "Bacterial small subunit ribosomal RNA", at positions 524 to 776 of the family's 1533-position model. The record is from RNAcentral.
GACAGGGGGCUCGAGCGUUAAUCGGAAUCAUUGGGCUUAAAGGGUGCGUAGGCGGGUUGCUAAGUGUUCUGUGAAAUCCCCCGGCUCAACCGGGGAAUCGCAGGGCAUACUGGCAGCCUUGAGGCAUGUAGGGGCGGACGGAACUGUAGGUGGAGCGGUGAAAUGCGUAGAUAUCUACAGGAACGCCGAUGGUGAAGACGGUCCGCUGGGCAUGUCCUGACGCUGAGGCACGAAAGCGUGGGGAGCAAACAGG